AGCGAACGCUGGCGGCAGGCUUAACACAUGCAAGUCGAGCGGGCACUUUCGGGUGUCAGCGGCGGACGGGUGAGUAACGCGUGGGAACGUGCCCUCUGGUUCGGAAUAACUCAGGGAAACUUGAGCUAAUACCGGAUACGCCCUUUUGGGGAAAGGCUUGCUGCCGGAGGAUCGGCCCGCGUCUGAUUAGCUAGUUGGUGAGGUAACGGCUCACCAAGGCGACGAUCAGUAGCUGGUCUGAGAGGAUGAUCAGCCAUACUGGGACUGAGACACGGCCCAGACUCCUACGGGAGGCAGCAGUGGGGAAUAUUGGACAAUGGGCGCAAGCCUGAUCCAGCCAUGCCGCGUGAGUGAUGAAGGCCUUAGGGUUGUAAAGCUCUUUUAUCCGGGACGAUAAUGACGGUACCGGAGGAAUAAGCCCCGGCUAACUUCGUG
This 435-nucleotide ribosomal RNA is filed under the name uncultured bacterium. RNAcentral's name for it is "partial 16S ribosomal RNA". It matches the Rfam family "Bacterial small subunit ribosomal RNA", at positions 29 to 507 of the family's 1533-position model. The record is from RNAcentral.